AUGGGUAUGCAGUCUAUGAUGGCUGUCCGGUGCACGAACCUUGUCAACCCUGUAUGCAACUGGCUUGCUGAGAUAUACGAGCCCGCCUCCAGGGAGUUCGUGAUUCCGGGACGUGGAAGACUCCCGUUGAACGAGGAUUCUGUGUUCUGCACUCAGGGCGUGCCUCGUGGACAUAUCAAAGUCCCAUACGAGGUCAACAAUGAGAUCGAGCAAGAGCUAUUCCCCCGUUUGUUUCCUGGGUCGGAAUCCAUGCCGAACACGUCUGCAGUGGCAGAUUCGCUGCAGGCCAUGACGACGCAUGGAGAUGUUUUCAAGAUGAAGCUACUCAUGUACCUCAUCUCAGCUGUUUUCGCGCCGACCACCUCCCUUCGCCCAAGCAACAAAUGCUUCCCCAUCCUGGUGGAUCUGAAAAAUGUGAAGAACAUGAAUUGGUGCAAGUUUAUUGCCGACUUCCUCCACGAUGCAUUCUCAAGCAAGAUGUACCAAAAGGAUUGUCGACUGCAUUUAAUGCUCAUGUAUGUCGACUGUCUUGAUCUGUCCACUGUGGAUUUCACUGGGGUAGGAGUCCCGCCACCUACGCACAAGUUUGCUGUUUCUGCGUGGACUAUCAACGCUGUCAAGGUUGUGCUUGCCGCAGACAGGGCAACUGAUACCAAAUAUGGAAAACUGCAGCUGAUGGCCAAGCAUGCUAUAGACUACAGCGUGUUUGGGGGGCCUCAAAACUUUGGAAAGUGGAUGGACGUGCACUCAGCUCCAUCUUGCCCUACUGAGGCGAGGGCACAUGUUGAGCAUCUAAUUGGGCAGUUUGCAUCCGGAAUGACCGGCUUGCUCGGGAAGUUGGUUGAGGGGUGGAAGUCUCUCAGUGGCUCUGACAGUGACGCGGUUGCGAGGCAGUUCACUUCAUUUGUCCCAGAACAUACACAUCGGUCAACCGGUUGCCGUGGUUGGUAUGACUACAACAGUUCACAAGAGCCCGGUGACACACAAGAUGAUCUAGAUGGAGACGCUGGCCUCGGUGAGGAUGACGACGAUGACAUGGAGAAUGUGCAACAGGACACUGAUGAUGAUGAGCAUGCUGAAGUUCGCGCAGGUUGUAACAAGGACAAGGAUGCAACAGAUGUCCCCCCACCGGAGAAAGUCAAAGAACAUACGGCUGCGAGAGGUGAGGGGGUGUUGCCAUCAAGGAGGGGGAGGGCUCCAGGAGAUGUUGGGCAGGGUUCUCAUGGCAAGAGGUCUAGGACCGAUCCCGUAGCUGCCAGGAGGAGCGAGCCGACCGCUGGUGGACGAGCAGUUACGAAGAAACAGGCGCCAACGCCAAACCGUGUUUCUGCUCGCUUGAACAAAGGCGCCCCCAUUGCCGGUGACACCCCUUCCACCAGGUCUUCUCCUCGUACGACGACGACCAACACCGGGGAUCCUGUCGUGUUGCCAUACCUGAGAAAGCCAGUCAAGAAGGUGAAGAAGACCACUAUGCGUGGGGCCAAGCAUACCAGUAAGGACCCGCUCGAACGCCUACAUUCAAAGUUGUCAACAGGGGGCAACUCAGAUGUACAUGAGGCACCAGGCGACAAUACUACUGCUGCACCGUUGACCGCUCCCACCAACUCUGAUGCAAGUGGCCGACCAUCUCCGCCGGCUGCAGAUGUGCAGGCUAGAACAACAGGCAUCCGUACAUCGGGGAGUGACGAGUCGGUAUCUGCCAGGACAGAUGAAAUAUUGCCAACUCUACUGGCAAUGAAGGAUGCUGCUGUGAGCCAUGCCACCCCAUCAGCAAGCGUUGAAGUGGACGCUCCCGAGACGAACCUAAGCAAGGAAGAUUCCCGCUCAUCUGACACUGAUUCCAAGCGCGUGCGUGGUCGCACUCCUGUGUCCACGACAGAAGUGGCUGAGGCGGCAGUUCACAAGGAUAUGCCAUCUACAGGUGAGAGUCCUGGCACAACAGCUCCAGCUCCUGUCGGUGCAGAUACUGCUAAGGCGACUGUUUCGCGUGCUGGUCUUCCACCUAGGUGCCGUAGCCCCCGCAAGCAACCAACAGACACACCCAACGCAUCGGCUGCAGCUAGGAGCAGGAGAGACGAGCCUGGUUAUGUCCCUGCGUCCACACUGUUCCCACCACCUGCCAAAAGCAAUGUGAUGGAGAAACCGGAAGACCUGAGCACAAUUGAUGCAGGUGUCAAGCCGGGCACGAGUGACGCAGGUGAACGCCCGGAGCAAACUGCGCCUUUACCCGCAUUGGAAAUCCCCAGCAUAAAUCUGCACACUUCCAGGCUCCCAGUCAAUGUCGGUGUCCCCAACAGCCCAAACAAGAAGAUUGUCAAGAAAGUUGUGGCUGAUACCGCUGAUAACACGCCCCGCCCUACAAAUAAGCUUGAUCAUUCUGUAGCGGCUGAUUCAGAUAUGUUUGUCGAUCUUUCACCCUUGGAUUCUGCCCCGCAAAUUGUUCAUGGUCCGGCCAGUAGGAAUGAGAGGCACCCAAUGGCCUUUACCCCACCGAGCUUCAGCCUUGGCAUCAGUCAAGAUCAACCGGUGCCAAUGGUCGAGGGCAGGAAGGCUGUCAAGUUCGUAGAGCCGAUUGUGCAAGCCACCCCUGAGGAGAUUUCACCGUCACUUGACGAAGCUUACCGCAUGAUCGAGGAGGCAACAUUGCAUAGGAGGUCCUCACGAGGGCAAGGGCAAUCAAGUUCCAACAUGCCUGUAGAUACGGUAUCUGAGGAUACCAUUAGGAGUGCCACUCCUGGUUCUGUGAGGCAGCAGAGGGUAGUUCACCCACCUCCCGCGGAAGACUACGAGCCCGAAUUCAAGGCCACUAAGGAACAGACCCAGCUGUACGAUAUCAUCAAGCGGUUUGGAAAUGCAAGGGCCAGCAGCAAGCACAUGAAGGAGCUGAAAGCAACCAAAGUCAUUCAAUGCGGAGCGACGUACGUCGACCUGGGUGAUCUUGCCGAGUCCGUGAGGCCAAACGGUAAAAUGUCGACGAAUGUAGUUGCAUGCGGGAUCGACUACAUCAAUAAUCAUAUGGAUGUGUGUGCCGACAAGAUAAUCAUGCAUUAUAGUGUGACCUGCAAAAUAUGGGAUGGUGACUUCCACCACAAAAUCCCGAGGAAGAAUUUUGCUCAACACGGUGAAUUCAAGCUCACACUGAAGAAAUAUAUGUUUUCAUGCGGCAACAGCUGCCGUGCACACUGUCAUCUUGAUUUUUGCAUCCCGUGCAAACUAUGUGGCAACUUGAUAGUCAUGUUCCCCAUGUUCCAGGAGCUUGCACCACAUGACCAGCAAGACAAGUGUGGUCACCACUAUGCCAUCUGUCUUGACCUGAAGAACCAACGUUUUGAGGUGCUUGAUUCAAUCCGUUCGGAAGCUGAUGCAGAUCUUACUACGCAUGCCGAAUUCUUCAUCAACAACCUCAAAGAGACAUGGAACCGUCACUACGAACAUUCAAAAGUCCAGAUCAGGCAUUUCCUGACUGAGUAUGUGUCGACUGCGAAGCAAGGGAACAUGACGGACUGUGGCUUUCACGCGCUGGAAUACUUUGCAAAGUGGGAAGGCAGAAUUGUCCCCACUAUCACAGCUGCAACGGUCGUUGAGCUCCGGAAAAUCCACACAUGGAACUGGUUGACGAAUGAAGAUUUCAACAAGCGGUCCGGAGCACGCGAGUUUGUGGAGGAAGCUGUCAAGAAAGUCAUCAAGAGGUACAAGUGA
RNAcentral lists this ribosomal RNA (3699 nucleotides) under Triticum aestivum (bread wheat). RNAcentral's name for it is "partial small subunit ribosomal RNA". Lineage: Eukaryota; Viridiplantae; Streptophyta; Magnoliopsida; Poales; Poaceae. The record is from RNAcentral.